AAUUGUUGCCUCGCUUACCGUGCGCUAUUUUUCAACAAGCGGUACAGAGACUCCUCAAAAUAGCGAGUCAUUCGCUGUUCACUGGUUUUACCGCCGUCUGCAAACCAGUACACCACCGUUCGCGCCACUCCAUCUGAAGUCUCUUCUUCGAACUCCGGCUCUCUCUCUCUCUCUCUCCCCAAUUUGUUUUCUUUAUAAUGCAGGUGUUCCGACGAAUUUGCGCGCACUUUGAACGAAUCACUACAACCCUUCCCACAACCGUAAUCACAUGCUUAUGCGCGGAGCUGAGGUGACGUCGAGAGUUUCUGGGAAGAAGAAUUGAAUCCAAGACAUUUGGAGGGAUCAAACCUCAAAAUCUCAGGUCAAAAUCACCUGGCCAACCCAAUGGGGUUGGAGUAACCUAUUGUUUGUUUCAUUGAGGAUAAAGUCGACAGGGAUCCUGAAACAAGAUGGGGGACACCAUAGAAGCUCCUGCAAAAGAAAAUUGCAAUCUUGCACAAUGCAGCGUUAAUCUUAAGUUUGUUUCACAUCAGGUUGAGCAACCAUUGCGAAUCGAGGUCUUAAGGUGCAGCUGUAUUUGAUUAUAGACUCAAACAAGACCCGCAAGUUCUGCAUCUUUUUUUUGGAUAAGUUUUGAAGAAACAAACCAAACAGGUAUAUGUCUAGGUGCCCCCCCCUACACAAAUGUGAUCUGCAAACGUAAGUCAGGAUUGUGAGCUCUUGGAUGAGCUAGUUUCUGCUCUUCAGAACUUUCUCUCUUGAAAUACUAAACAUAUACAAGUUGCUGGGAGCACUAAAUUUAUGCUCAUGUUCAAUUCAAAAGCUGCAUAUUUACAGUAGACCACAUCAUACAACUGAGAAACAAAUACAAAUACAAUUUAAGCAAAAAAAUAUAGGUACAUUCACAUAAAGAAUCUAUUGAAACUGCUGAACCUAUCUUUCUGAAUUGCUUCAUCUACAUCAAAACAUCGUUCUUUUUUCCUGCAUUUUAAUGUUGCUGAAUAUUUCUCUUUUCACAUGAAACUAGAGUAGUCGGUUCGUUGGGCCGGAUGCUGAGUUAGGGAAUCUGGCUCUCAACAAGUUGGAUUCUUCCAUUGUUUGAAAAUUUCUCCCUCUGUCCUUGUCCGGCAAGGGAAUAGGCUUCUUCUCCAUGGGCCGCAUCAUCCCCAAUCCUGAGCUCUUCCUCGGACAUCCGGAGAGGUAUCACUACCCUAAUGACCACCAGAAUAAUAGAUGUGGCUACCACGUUCCAGCCUAUAAUAAAAGCAGCGCCGGCCAACUGUUUAAGGAAUUGCACU
Long non-coding RNA from Rhododendron vialii, 1298 nucleotides. RefSeq lists it as uncharacterized. NCBI's taxonomy places the organism in Eukaryota, Viridiplantae, Streptophyta, Magnoliopsida, Ericales, Ericaceae. The record is from RefSeq and is a predicted model, not a curated record. The transcript has 2 exons.